ACUCCUACGGGAGGCAGCAGUGGGGAAUAUUGCACAAUGGGCGCAAGCCUGAUGCAGCCAUGCCGCGUGUAUGAAGAAGGCCUUCGGGUUGUAAAGUACUUUCAGCAGUGAGGAAGGUGGGUAUGUUAAUAGCAUAUUCAUUUGACGUUAGCUGCAGAAGAAGCACCGGCUAACUCCGUGCCAGCAGCCGCGGUAAUACGGAGGGUGCGAGCGUUAAUCGGAAUUACUGGGCGUAAAGCGCAUGCAGGUGGUUUGUUAAGUCAGAUGUGAAAGCCCGGGGCUCAACCUCGGAAUUGCAUUUGAAACUGGCAAACUAGAGUACUGUAGAGGGGGGUAGAAUUUCAGGUGUAGCGGUGAAAUGCGUAGAGAUCUGAAGGAAUACCGGUGGCGAAGGCGGCCCCCUGGACAGAUACUGACACUCAGAUGCGAAAGCGUGGGGAGCAAACAGGAUUAGAUACCCUGGUAGGCUACU
RNAcentral lists this ribosomal RNA (472 nucleotides) under uncultured bacterium. RNAcentral's name for it is "bacterial SSU rRNA". It matches the Rfam family "Bacterial small subunit ribosomal RNA", at positions 335 to 799 of the family's 1533-position model. The record is from RNAcentral.